RNAcentral lists this long non-coding RNA (1181 nucleotides) under Hordeum vulgare. RNAcentral's name for it is "long non-coding RNA (HVUL_LNC014351)". The record is from RNAcentral. Lineage: Eukaryota; Viridiplantae; Streptophyta; Magnoliopsida; Poales; Poaceae.
UCGAGCACUCGGUCCACGACGCCAACUACUCCCCCGCCGAUCGCACAGUCCACGUCUGGCGGGGUUUUAGCCACCGGCUAACUGCUAACUGAACUUGACCUAUUAACUAGCUAACUGAAACCGACUGGAAAGCAAAUCCUAACUAACUAACGGGCUAGCUAGUCUAGCUUAUUGUGCAACAUGGCAACUAGUUAAUAACACAUGACAACUAUGGUUUGACCACACGUGGCAACUUGUUAAUCACACAUGCCAACUAUGGUUGACCAUACAUGACCACUAUGGUUCAAACACACGUGGCACCUAGUUAAUCAUACAUGGAACGUAUGGUUGACCAUACAUGACAACUAUGGUUGACUAUACAUGACAACUAUGGUUUGAUCACACAUUACACAUUGGCCAAAUGAUAAGUACCACACGUAUGGCACGAAAUAACAUUGUCCUAACAUUUUUACAACUAAAAUUUCCAUCCGAGAAAAAAAAACCCAAAAAAGCCGUAACUCGUGAUCCAAAUAGAAAGUUGCCAUGAUUUAGAAAUAAAGUUGCCAUCCUCGGUAACUAAAGUUGCCAUAAAAAAUGCUAGUGCAUAAUUUCUUCAUGCCACACAUGUGGGGUGUCCGGAUGGGGUGAGUAGUUGUUGUUGGAUCGGCGUGCGGGCCGUCGUAGCUACGCCCGAAGUGCGGGGGCAAUUUUAAUGUUCGCCCACACAGGGUCGUGUGGACUUGCUCCUAGGUACGAACGGACGAGUAGUGUGGUAGGGUGUUCAUUGUGCCACACGUAUGAUGAAUAUCGAGGUCUUAUCUUUAGGCGAGCUAGGGCUCCAAUUAAUCCUAAAUCCCUCACAAAUGCAACUCCAAAGAAACAGAUCCAGAGCACUAGAUAAGUCAUAGAGCACACAUCACGCAUUGCCCCAAAGGAGCCCCUAUACGCUGCUCUCUGCGGUAGAAGUUCGACCGGACGCACAGGCGGGAAUCCCUGAGUCGGGACAACCCCAAGAUCGGGUGCUUCACAAGAAGUACUGCCACCACAUGAGCUAGCGAACUAUCUAAUUUAUAAUGCGCCACAAAUGUUUAAGCACCAAACCAAUCACAGGUCAGAACGUUCUCAAAAUAUUGAAAGUAAACCAUUUUUUUAAACGUGAAUGUUGUAUGAAACACUAACACAUUUCUAAAUGGGAAUCGUUU